This 464-nucleotide ribosomal RNA is filed under the name Vreelandella stevensii. RNAcentral's name for it is "partial 16S ribosomal RNA". It matches the Rfam family "Bacterial small subunit ribosomal RNA", at positions 338 to 795 of the family's 1533-position model. Lineage: Bacteria; Pseudomonadati; Pseudomonadota; Gammaproteobacteria; Oceanospirillales; Halomonadaceae. The record is from RNAcentral.
CCUACGGUGGCUGCAGUGGGGAAUAUUGGACAAUGGGCGAAAGCCUGAUCCAGCCAUGCCGCGUGCGUGAAGAAGGCCUUCGGGUUGUAAAGCACUUUCAGUGGGGAAGAAAGCCUUGGGGCUAAUACCCUCGAGGAAGGACAUCACCCACAGAAGAAGCACCGGCUAACUCCGUGCCAGCAGCCGCGGUAAUACGGAGGGUGCGAGCGUUAAUCGGAAUUACUGGGCGUAAAGCGCGCGUAGGCGGUCUGAUAAGCCGGUUGUGAAAGCCCCGGGCUCAACCUGGGAACGGCAUCCGGAACUGUCAGGCUAGAGUGCAGGAGAGGAAGGUAGAAUUCCCGGUGUAGCGGUGAAAUGCGUAGAGAUCGGGAGGAAUACCAGUGGCGAAGGCGGCCUUCUGGACUGACACUGACGCUGAGGUGCGAAAGCGUGGGUAGCAAACAGGAUUAGAUACCCUGGUAGUC